AGUCAUUCAAAUAUAUAUCUAUAUAUCGGAGGAAUAUCUUUCCUCGGCUUAGAUUAGUUAAGUGUUACAAUAAUUAUGAUCAAAGAGAAAGAUCAAUCGAUACGCACCAGUCAUGACUGCAGAUCCAUUUGUUUUCGGAGGGGGGGGGGGUACUUCAGCGCCCUUUUUCUAAUUUGAAAAAAAAUUUUUUUUUAGUUUUCAUUUUCAUGUUUGUGCAGUGGAUAAGUAAUAGAAUAAGUGUAAAAAAAAUUUGAAAGCAUUACGCGUUCCAGAUGCCAUAAGGGCGUAUACCGGCAAAAGGUCCCGGUGAAAAGCCAUAAGGGCGU
Long non-coding RNA from Cotesia glomerata, 326 nucleotides. RefSeq lists it as uncharacterized. The record is from RefSeq and is a predicted model, not a curated record. The transcript has 2 exons. NCBI's taxonomy places the organism in Eukaryota, Metazoa, Arthropoda, Insecta, Hymenoptera, Braconidae.